RNAcentral lists this ribosomal RNA (546 nucleotides) under uncultured Glomeromycotina. RNAcentral describes it as "SSU rRNA". It matches the Rfam family "Eukaryotic small subunit ribosomal RNA", at positions 548 to 1098 of the family's 1831-position model. Lineage: Eukaryota; Fungi; Glomeromycota. The record is from RNAcentral.
UUGGAGGGCAAGUCUGGUGCCAGCAGCCGCGGUAAUUCCAGCUCCAAUAGCGUAUAUUAAAGUUGUUGCAGUUAAAAAGCUCGUAGUUGAAUUUCGGAAUCAGUACGUUGGUCGUGCCUUAGGUACGUACUGGUGUUACUGGUUUCUACCUUCUGACGAACCAUCAUGUCAUUCAUUUGGUGUGGCGGGGAAUCAGGACUGUUACUUUGAAAAAAUUAGAGUGUUUAAAGCAGGCCCGCGCUUGAAUACAUUAGCAUGGAAUAAUGAAAUAGGACGUUGAUCCUAUUUUGUUGGUUUCUAGGAUUGACGUAAUGAUUAAUAGGGAUAGUUGGGGGCAUUAGUAUUCAAUUGUCAGAGGUGAAAUUCUUGGAUUUAUUGAAGACUAACUACUGCGAAAGCAUUUGCCAAGGAUGUUUUCAUUAAUCAAGAACGAAAGUUAGGGGAUCGAAGACGAUCAGAUACCGUCGUAGUCUUAACCAUAAACUAUGCCGACUAGGGAUCGGAUGAUGUUAUUUUUAAUGACUCAUUCGGCGCCUUACGGGAAAC